CCUACGGGAGGCAGCAGUGAGGAAUAUUGGUCAAUGGACGCAAGUCUGAACCAGCCAUGCCGCGUGCAGGAAGACGGCUCUAUGAGUUGUAAACUGCUUUUGUACGAGGGUAAACGCAGAUACGCGUAUCUGUCUGAAAGGAUCGUACGAAUAAGGAUCGGCUAACUCCGUGCCAGCCGCCGCGGUAAUAAGGAGGAUUCAAGCGUUAUCCGGAUUUAUUGGGUUUAAAGGGUGCGUAGGCGGUCGGAUAAGUUAGAGGUGAAAUCCCGAGGCUCAACUUCGGACUUGCCGCUGAUACUGAUCGGCUAGAGAGUAGGUGCGGUAGGCGGAAUGUAUGGUGUAGCGGUGAAAUGCUUAGAGAUCAUACAGAACACCGAUUGCGAAGGCAGCUUACCAAGCUACUUCUGACGUUGAGGCACGAAAGCGUGGGGAGCAAACAGGAUUAGAUACCCGGGUAGUC
This 460-nucleotide ribosomal RNA is filed under the name uncultured bacterium. RNAcentral's name for it is "partial 16S ribosomal RNA". It matches the Rfam family "Bacterial small subunit ribosomal RNA", at positions 338 to 795 of the family's 1533-position model. The record is from RNAcentral.